This 1301-nucleotide long non-coding RNA is filed under the name Homo sapiens (human). The record is from RNAcentral. Lineage: Eukaryota; Metazoa; Chordata; Mammalia; Primates; Hominidae.
CGACCGCCGCGGCCGGCCCCGCAGACCGGGGAGGAGGAGGAGGAGGGGAAGCCGGAGAGGGAGGCGCGGGGAGGAGGGAUGGAGCCGGGAGGAGGAAAUAAAUAAAUAAAACAAUCACCUCCGCGCCAAUAAGAGCGAGGGAGAGAGCAAGACGCGACCAGAGAGCCACCGGGGCCCGCUCGCGCGCCUCUGAGAGGCUGUCCGCGCGCGCGCGUGUGUGCGUGAGUGUGGAUUUGCCGGGACUGGAGCUGGAAAGUUCAAACUAAACGUGUUGCUCUCGCCGAGUGCCGAGGCCGCGGCGGAGGCUGCCCAACUUCCCCGGGCCAAGUGAGUGGCGUUGCCCAGCGCCUUUGGCGAGGCGGCGGCCGCUCGGCCCUGCGCCCGGCCGCGGCGGCGGCGGCUCCGCUCGCCCCGGGAGGGAGCCCGCGGCCAGGGCUGGACUCUCGCCCCGCCACCUCCACCGACUCUCUCCUCAGCCUCCGCGCCUGGCACCGCAGCAAGCUUGAAUGAAGUGAUCAUGUAAACUAGAGAAAGGAGAUUAAAAAUAACCUCUGGAUAUUCCUCUCAUGUGAUCUUUAUUCUGGAUGAAGCAUUAGGACAGCUAAUAGCCGUGUGUCACUAGAGACAGGGUUUCACCGUGUUAGCCAGGAUGGUCUCGAUCUCCUGACCUCGUGAUCCACCCCCCUCGGCCUCCCAAAGUGCUGGGAUUACAGGCGUGAGCCACAGCCCCUGGCCUCAACUGCUGUUUCUUUCAAAGUGCAUACAAUUGAUUUAAUUCAGAUCUUGUUUUUAAUAUGUAUUCACCAUUGGACAAUGCAUGGUUUCUUUAAAUUUAAUUCAGUUGGAACCUGACGGAUGACUUCGGCCUGCUGGCAUGCUCUUUUCGUUUUACCGUUCCGUGCGUGCUCCAUUCCCCAUAGCCAUCAUCUUGAUUUUGUGUUUAUCAAUCCAUUGCUUUUUUAUAAUUUUCCUGGAUAUACAUAUUUAUCUAAAAAAUAUAACGUUUACAUUUGCUUAUUUUGAAAUUUAUUAGAAAAUAUUAUUCUGCAUGUAAACUUUAGAGUCAUUUUUUUGCCCAAUAUUUCGUUCCUCAUAUUUAAUCAUAUUAUUACAGAUAGCUGUAAUUGUUAUUGUUUAACACUUCGCUGUGGGAAAAUGAAACAGUCUAUCUAUUCUCCUGUCCAUGGCGUAUGAUUCCUUCUUGAUAUUAUGAUCAGUGCUGGUUUGAAUAUUUUUAUGUCUUCUAGUGUGUAUGUAAUCAACUAUAUAAUCCUGGAAAAUAAUAAAAUGUUUUAAACUGG